This 408-nucleotide ribosomal RNA is filed under the name uncultured bacterium. RNAcentral's name for it is "partial 16S ribosomal RNA". It matches the Rfam family "Bacterial small subunit ribosomal RNA", at positions 28 to 526 of the family's 1533-position model. The record is from RNAcentral.
GACGAACGCUGGCGGCGUGCCUAAUACAUGCAAGUGAAGUUCAGUGGCGGACGGGUGAGUAACACGUGGGUAACCUGCCCUCCUUUUUGGGAUAAGCCUUGGAAACGGGGUCUAAUACCGAAUAAGGGGGGAUGGGCGCGCGGCCUAGCGGCUUGUUGGUGGGGUGAUGGCCUACCACGGGGGUGACGGGUGGCCGGCCUGGGAGGGUGACCGGGCACAUGAGGACGGGGAUACGGCCCUGCGUCCGGCGGGAGGGAGGAGUGGUGGAUAUUGCACGAUGGGCUAAAGCCUGAUGCAGCGACGCCGCGUGGGGGAUGAAGGCUUUCGGGUUGUAAACCUCUUUCGCGAUCGAACGGGUAGGUGGAGAAGAAGCGCCGGCUAACUACGUGCCAGCAGCCGCGGUAAUAC